Poecilia reticulata (guppy) is the source of this 801-nucleotide long non-coding RNA. RefSeq lists it as uncharacterized. The record is from RefSeq and is a predicted model, not a curated record. NCBI's taxonomy places the organism in Eukaryota, Metazoa, Chordata, Actinopteri, Cyprinodontiformes, Poeciliidae.
GCUGUGAUGAUCUUUAAAGUUUUGUUUAUGAACCCUGUUUGAAUACACUGAUUGCAUCUAGGUCAUUUACUUGAAUUAAAAACGAACUUGCAUCAGUACAAGCACAUUUAUUUCCUCCUGUCUAUGGUAUUUAUUGUUGUUACAAGCCAGAUGAAGAUAAGUAAAGAGCUGAGAACCUGAUCUUUGAACAGACAGAGACCAUAGGUCAGGAGCAGCCUAGGAUGCUUACUGAGGAGCAUCCAAUGAUGACACCAGAGAACCAGGAAGAUACAGUGAUAGUGCUUGAUCUGGUUCCUGUUUCUUCUACUGUUGUCCCUUCCUCUCAGUCUUGUCAGAAGAAGAAAAGACCCAGAAGCAUCUCUCCAGCUGCUUCUCCUCCCAGUCUGUCAUCUGUCUCCCCCCCAAAGAUCAGCCACAUCUGCAUUCAUGUCAUCUGCUGACCAUCCCAUCUCCUUAAGUCAUGGUGGCCGAUAAGAAGAGAAAGCAUAAGUUAAAAUGUUAAGGAAGGAUCCCUUCAAGUGUCAAGUUUGUACCCCAGAUGUGCUUUCAGUUUCUGUAGAUGGAAAUUGCAAGUAUUACCAUUUAAAGAAUGCAGCAAGAUUGGAGGAACAGGCUAUAUUUCAGGACUUUUUCAUAGCCAUGGAUGAAAACGUAGGAAAAUUUGUGGACUGUAUACACAAAUCAACCAAAAAUAUUUUGUGGUGGGCAAUGGUCAGCAGCCAGGGUAAGUAAGUAAGUAAGCUUUAUUUCUAUAGCACUUUUCACAGACCAGGGUCACAAAGUGCUGCACAAAGUGUAAAA